Neopsephotus bourkii (Bourke's parrot) is the source of this 604-nucleotide long non-coding RNA. RefSeq lists it as uncharacterized. NCBI's taxonomy places the organism in Eukaryota, Metazoa, Chordata, Aves, Psittaciformes, Psittacidae. The record is from RefSeq and is a predicted model, not a curated record. The transcript has 3 exons.
AGCCUAGCUUUGACUCUUAGAAUUUAGGUAGUUUUAGUUACAUACUUGCUUGAAAGGGGUUGGGUGUGUAGAGGAAUGAAACCCUAAAAUGGUUUCCUUCAUAAACAGUUUGUAACUGUUACUGUAGCAUCAACUUCAAUUUAAGCUUACAGAGUUGAAAUUAAGAAAUGUAACUUCUUGUUACAGGUCAUCCCUAGAGAAAAAAUUGAUGAACUGCUGUCUGUCUGCUGGAGUGGUUCAUUUGAGAAACUGGAAACACUGGCAAAGAAUCUCGUAAAUGAUGGGUAUGCUGUUGCUCAGCUUGUAAACCAGCUGCAUGAUGCUGUUGUUGAGAGUGAAAAUUACAGUGACAAGCAGAAAUCUGUCAUAGUCGAGAAACUUGCGGAAGUAGACAAAUGCUUGGCUGAUGGUGCUGAUGAAUACUUGCAGCUGAUGAGUCUCUGUGCUUUGGUGAUGCAGCAGCUAACACAGAACACUUAAUGACUUCUGCAGCAUGGAACAGCUUUUUUUCACAGGGGGCCAAGGUUCUGAGAGCAAGGUUCUGGGUGCUUUUGUAGUGGGGGGUUUUUUGGCAAUAAAAGGGCUGCUCAGCAGUUGGAAAAGA